Molecule: long non-coding RNA, 2523 nt
Organism: Gasterosteus aculeatus aculeatus (three-spined stickleback)
Lineage: Eukaryota; Metazoa; Chordata; Actinopteri; Perciformes; Gasterosteidae
Source: Ensembl
GUCAGCGCUCAUCCAGGAAUAUUCAAGUUUUUUGUAGUUUCACGCGUCGAGUCAUUCCCUAGUUUCAGACCGCGCUGUCGCCGGAGAAACGUUACUUACAACAGCGCGCACCGGGACCAGUGUUUCCUAUUAAAGAACGUUCUGUUCUCUUCACAGGUUACUGGGAGGUGAACGGCUUUGGCCUGUUUGGAAUCUACAAGUCUGAUUUUGAGAAGAUUGGAGGAAUGAACACGGAGGAAUUCAAAGACCGCUGGGGUGGAGAGGACUGGGAGCUGCUGGACAGGGUACUGCAGAACGGUUUAGAGGUAGAGAGACUGCGUUUGAGGAACUUCUUCCACUACUACCACUCCAAACGGGGCAUGUGGAAUGCGCAGAAUAAGAAAACUCCGAAGGGAUAGCGCCCCCUUCUGGCGUGAGGAUUCUGAAUCUACCUGCAGAUCCACAACGUGUGAGAGAGCGAGGGACCCGUAGGAGCUCGCUCACUGCCUGAACUCCUUUCAGGGAUGCCUUUGCUUCUCCAUCAGCUCCUCUUGUAAACUUGUAAACCCACGAGGAAACAAGGAGUCUAAAUCUGAACUUUAAAAGCCGGCCGUUUACGCAGAUCGACCUGAGUCGUCACUUCAGCCUCACUGACUGAACUACUGUACAGAGAGAAGUAUUGUUCUUCUGCUUCUCUCUGUCCUUUUUUUGGUGCAAUGUUUUCAGACAGACUGGAAAAUAGCUGUGUGUGUGUAUAUAUAUAUAUAUAUAUACAUACAUAUAGUUGUAUGUGAGUGUGUCGCCGCUUGCGUGUGCUUAAGAUGACAGAAAGCACCUUUUUUCUAACCAGGAGAUGUGAUGGCAACCUAAGAUCUUUUUUUCUAACACGCUCUCUCGUGAGGGCCCAAUAGAAUGUGUGUCGACGUGUUACUCAAAUACAUCCGGACGCGGUGGAGUAGGUUUCCGUCGUAGACGAACUGUGUCUUUGGUAAAAUAGUUUCUAAAUACAUCAACCUCUACCUGUUGGAUAGAAUUAUGACCAAGGUGCUGCAUUCUCCUGAUAUUGACAAAGAAAAGUUGUGGAUCAGAAAAGCCCCUCAAAAGGAUGAUGACAGAUUUGUCAUCUUUAUAUCUAUUUCUGUCCCUUUAUCCCUCCGUAUUCUUUUUUUUAUCUACAACUCAUUGCAGCCCUCUUUCUGUUUCAAUGUCAUGCAAAUUUGUGUAUUUGCGUUUUAUGUUCUACACCUAGCUAUCGGAUACAAUUGAUUCAAUUUUGUUUCGUUAACUUCGUUAAUAAUUGAUAUCAUUUUCUGCUAUUAUUAUUUCGGUAUUUGUCCUCACUGAGUCUGGACGCACUAACAUUUGGGGUGCUAUUUCCUGUUCUAAAACACUGAAUUUGUAAACGGUUUACCUAUUUCAACUCUACUGACAGAAUCCUUCAUUCCCUCCACGUGUUUAACCUCAUUGUCACUGGAACAUAAAACUUUAUUAGGAGAACAGCAGCGGCAGCUUUUGGCAUUACAUUUCACAUUGUCACGCACGCUAUCUUUUUCUCAUGUUAAAGAAAUAGCACAGAGACGGGGGAUGCUUAGCUACGGAGAAACAUUUACAUUUACUCUGCUUUAAAGCUUGUAUGAAGCUCAAACAGAAGCGGGAUCGGUUCAUGUGUUGGGACACAAGGUGGCAAGGCAUGGUGGUUUCACAAAUGUGUGCCUUUAUCAGGGUUUGGCUGCAGGCAGUUUUUAAACUACUUUAAUGACAGAAGAGGGCAGCGACAGACGGGAAUCAUUGAGGUUAUUUAUUAGCAGGCUGUAAUGUCAUUGUAAAUUCAGAUAAACUCUAAAAGAAGGAAACACGGUUCUCUUCAGCGGAUUACAAAGACGCGUCGGUGUGUUUUUGUGGAAUUACCUUAGAAGCAGGAAGGAGGGGUCUAUCAAGCCAGUUGCCCUUUUGGUGAGAUAUGCGGACAUGGUACUUGACUACUGAGUGAAAUCCGGAGGUGUGAUGGAGACUCACUGGCAGCUGCACUUCAGCGGGACCCCACCUGCUCCCAUUCGUUUUGGCCGGAGGCCGGGCCCCUAAUGCCUCUGUUUAUGCAACACGGUACUUCUAUUGAUGGAGAGUGGCUUGAGGGCUCAAGGCUGGACACACAUAUGGAGGAAAGUUAAUGAUCUGUUGUUGACUAUAUGAUUGUCAAAAUGCCCUCCAAGACCCUUUCUUUGCCUCUACAGGAAGAGUCUACUGUACGUCAUUUAACAUUGACAUGGGACUAUUUAAAGAAUCACAUUAAAUAUAUAUGUAUAUAUAUAUAUAUAUGUAUGUAUAUGUAUAUAUAUGUAUGUAUAUGUAUAUGUAUAUAUUAAAUAUACAUAUGUGUACAUAUAUUUAUGAAACAUAACAUAACAUGGAAAAUAGGAAUAUACAUUCCAAGGUAAUUUCUGUGAAAUUGUUUUGUAGAGAAAAGGUUUUAAGAAUGUAUUGUAAUUUUUAUUUUAAUUUGUUGGGGUUUUUUGCAAAUAAAAUUUUAUGCUUACGUCCAGGUAA